Molecule: transfer RNA, 60 nt
Filed under: Escherichia coli
Lineage: Bacteria; Pseudomonadati; Pseudomonadota; Gammaproteobacteria; Enterobacterales; Enterobacteriaceae
Description: tRNA-Arg
Rfam family: tRNA
About the family: Transfer RNA (tRNA) molecules are approximately 80 nucleotides in length. Their secondary structure includes four short double-helical elements and three loops (D, anti-codon, and T loops).
Source: RNAcentral
UAGCUCAUCGGGAUAGAGCGUCAGCCUUCGAAGCUGGUUGCGCGAGGUUCGAGUCCCCGG